Molecule: ribosomal RNA, 460 nt
Filed under: uncultured bacterium
Lineage: Bacteria
Description: partial 16S ribosomal RNA
Rfam family: Bacterial small subunit ribosomal RNA
Source: RNAcentral
CCUACGGGGGGCAGCAGUGAGGAAUAUUGGUCAAUGGACGAGAGUCUGAACCAGCCAAGUAGCGUGAAGGAUGACUGCCCUAUGGGUUGUAAACUUCUUUUAUAUGGGAAUAAAACGUUCCACGUGUGGGAUUUUGUAUGUACCAUAUGAAUAAGGCUCGGCUAACUCCGUGCCAGCAGCCGCGGUAAUACGGAGGAUCCGAGCGUUAUCCGGAUUUAUUGGGUUUAAAGGGAGCGUAGGUGGAUUGUUAAGUCAGUUGUGAAAGUUUGCGGCUCAACCGUAAAAUUGCAGUUGAAACUGGCAGUCUUGAGUACAGUAGAGGUGGGCGGAAUGCGUGGUGUAGCGGUGAAAUGCUUAGAUAUCACGAAGAACUCCGAUUGCGAAGGCAGUUCACUGGACUGCAACUGACACUGAUGCUCGAAAGUGUGGGUAUCAAACAGGAUUAGAUACCCCAGUAGUC